GAUGAACGCUGGCGGCGUGCCUAAUACAUGCAAGUCGAGCGAACAGACGAGGAGCUUGCUCCUCUGACGUUAGCGGCGGACGGGUGAGUAACACGUGGAUAACCUACCUAUAAGACUGGGAUAACUUCGGGAAACCGGAGCUAAUACCGGAUAAUAUAUUGAACCGCAUGGUUCAAUAGUGAAAGACGGUUUUGCUGUCACUUAUAGAUGAAUCCGCGCCGCAUUAGCUAGUUGGUAAGGUAACGGCUUACCAAGGCGACGAUGCGGAGCCGACCUGAGAGGGUGGUUGGCCACACUGGAACUGAGACACGGUCCAGACUCCUACGGGAGGCAGCAGUAGGGAAUCUUCCGCAAUGGGCGGAAGCCUGACGGAGCAACGCCGGGUGAGUGAUGAAGGUCUUCGGAUCGUUAAACUCUGUUAUUAGGGAAGAACAAAUGUGUAAGUAACUAUGCACGUCUUGACGGUACCUAAUCAGAAAGCCACGGCUAACUACGUG
RNAcentral lists this ribosomal RNA (497 nucleotides) under uncultured bacterium. RNAcentral's name for it is "partial 16S ribosomal RNA". It matches the Rfam family "Bacterial small subunit ribosomal RNA", at positions 28 to 507 of the family's 1533-position model. The record is from RNAcentral.